CCCUGACAGACAAGGAUUCAACCUCUGUGAACUCCCCACUGCUCCUCUGGCUCUGCUACUAUACUACCUUUUUCUCCUGAAAAUUGUGCCAGAAAAGAUGGUGAAAACAUGAGGACUUCUGGGUUCUACAUUCACCUCUUUCUUAAUGGAACUACACCUUGCAAGGCAGUCUUGAGGUUCCCAAUCCCGUGACAGUGAACAACACCGUUGUAUCAAAACAUUAAUGGGAUGAAGAAGUAUUUGUUAUCCCAAUCCAUGUUGGGAGGCCUGAGGAAACUCUCAAGAAUGAGCUGCUGGCUACUCCAAGUUCAAACCUGCCAUUUUAAAGACAGAAAUGAACUGAGAUCUGACCAUCCUCUCCUCUUCUAGAAGGCAUUUGGUAUGGUCUGAUGUUCUUCUGUAAGCAGUUUUGUUUUAAUAGGAUUUGAUGAUAAUUUUAUUCUUUUAUAGGUAUUGCUUUUAUUAAUUUGCGACCUGCUGGGUCAUCAACAGUGGACAAGAAAUGUUAACAAAAAUAAAAUUACUCUGUCCUUAAA
Long non-coding RNA from Hemicordylus capensis (graceful crag lizard), 536 nucleotides. RefSeq lists it as uncharacterized. The record is from RefSeq and is a predicted model, not a curated record. The transcript has 3 exons. NCBI's taxonomy places the organism in Eukaryota, Metazoa, Chordata, Lepidosauria, Squamata, Cordylidae.